GACGAACGCUGGCGGCGUGCCUAAUACAUGCAAGUCGAACGCAGUGGGGACGGGUGAGUAACACGUGGGUAACCUCCCAUCAGAGGGGAUAACACUUGGAAACAGGUGCUAAACCGCUACUUUUUGAUCGACCCGCGGGGCAUUAGCUAGUUGGUGGGGUAACGGCUCACCAAGGCCACGAUGCAUAGCCGGCCGGAGAGGAUGAUCGGCCACACUGGGACUGAGACACGGCCCAGACUCCUACGGGAGGCAGCAGUAGGGAAUCUUCGGCAAUGGGCGAAAGUCUGACCGAGCAACGCCGCGUGAGUGAAGAAGGUUUUCGGAUCGUAAAGCACUGUUGUUAGGGAAGCGGUAACUAAAGAGAAAGCCACGGCUAACUACGUGCCAGCAGCCGCGGUAAUAC
Molecule: ribosomal RNA, 403 nt
Filed under: uncultured bacterium
Lineage: Bacteria
Description: partial 16S ribosomal RNA
Rfam family: Bacterial small subunit ribosomal RNA
Source: RNAcentral